AUACGUAGGGGGCGAGCGUUGUCCGGAAUGAUUGGGCGUAAAGGGCGCGUAGGCGGCCCGGUAAGUCUGGAGUGAAAGUCCUGUUUUUAAGAUGGGAAUUGCCUUGGAUACUGUCGGGCUUGAGUGCAGGAGAGGGAAGUGGAAUUCCCAGUGUAGCGGUGAAAUGCGUAGAGAUUGGGAGGAACACCAGUGGCGAAGGCGACUUACUGGACUGUAACUGACGCUGAGGCGCGAAAGUGUGGGGAGCAAACAGGAUUAGAUACCCUGGUAGUCCACACUGUAAACGAUGAAUGCUAGGUGUAGGGGGUAUCGACCCCUUCUGUGCCGCAGUCAACACAAUAAGCAUUCCGCCUGGGGAGUACGGCCGCAAGGUUGAAACUCAAAUGAAUUGACGGGG
RNAcentral lists this ribosomal RNA (397 nucleotides) under uncultured bacterium. Its description in RNAcentral is "partial 16S ribosomal RNA". It matches the Rfam family "Bacterial small subunit ribosomal RNA", at positions 523 to 918 of the family's 1533-position model. The record is from RNAcentral.